RNAcentral lists this ribosomal RNA (432 nucleotides) under Triticum aestivum (bread wheat). Its description in RNAcentral is "partial small subunit ribosomal RNA". The record is from RNAcentral. Lineage: Eukaryota; Viridiplantae; Streptophyta; Magnoliopsida; Poales; Poaceae.
AUGAUAGUCUUAAGCUGGAACUACCGGGGCCUAGGGCAACCCCGGACAGUUCAGGAACUCGUGUGCCUAGUGCACACUUUCAAGCCCAUGCUCGUGUUCCUUUCAGAGACGCGGCAAAGCAACUCGUACGUCAAUAAGUUAAGGUGGAGGCUUGGCCUCAAGCAUUGUAUCACGCAGCCUGGGGUUGGAAAAGGUGUGGAUAUUGCGCUUUUCUAUGAUGAGAGUGUUGAAUGGAGAUGUACGUUUGUCUAUGGUGAACCGAGAGCAAGUGAUAGGCAUCACAUGUGGGAAUUGCUAAGGAGAUUAAAGGGUAUCUCAAUUGCUCCUUGGUUGAUGGUGGGGGAUUUUAACGAUGCGAUGUGGCAAUCAGAACAUUUCUCCGCUGCCAAGAGAUCUGAACGACUAAUGGAAAACUUUCGUGAGGUACUGUGA